GGGGGUAUAGCUCAGUUGGUAGAGCGCUGCCUUGCAAGGCAGACGUCAGCGGUUCGAGUCCGCUUACCUCCA
This 72-nucleotide transfer RNA is filed under the name Ostreococcus tauri. RNAcentral's name for it is "tRNA-OTHER". It matches the Rfam family "tRNA". Rfam says of the family: Transfer RNA (tRNA) molecules are approximately 80 nucleotides in length. Their secondary structure includes four short double-helical elements and three loops (D, anti-codon, and T loops). Further hydrogen bonds mediate the characteristic L-shaped molecular structure. tRNAs have two regions of fundamental functional importance: the anti-codon, which is responsible for specific mRNA codon recognition, and the 3' end, to which the tRNAs corresponding amino acid is attached (by aminoacyl-tRNA synthetases). tRNAs cope with the degeneracy of the genetic code in two manners: having more than one tRNA (with a specific anti-codon) for a particular amino acid; and 'wobble' base-pairing, i.e. permitting non-standard base-pairing at the 3rd anti-codon position. Lineage: Eukaryota; Viridiplantae; Chlorophyta; Mamiellophyceae; Mamiellales; Bathycoccaceae. The record is from RNAcentral.